CCCGGCCUGCGAGCCCUGGGGAGGGGGGGUGCGGGUCUGUAACCCGGCCUGCGAGCCCUGGGGAGGGGGGGUGCGGGUCUGUAACCGCACCUGCGAGCCGCGGGGGGCAGCGGGUCUGUAACCCAGCCUGCGACCAGCUGGGGGCUGCGGGUCUGUAACCGCGCCUGCAACCCCGGGGAUCUGCGGGUCUGUAACCCGGCCUGCGACCAUCUGGGGGCUGCGGGUCUGUAACCGCGCCUGGCGGGGGGGUUGUGGGUCUGUAACCGGGCCUGCGACCAGCUGGAGGCUGCGGGUCUGUAACCGCGCCUGCUAGCCGCAGGGGCUACGGGUUUGUAACCGGGCCUGCGAGCCGCGGGGGGGCCUGCGGGUCUGUAACCGGGCCUGCGAGCCGCGGGAGCGCAGAGGUCCGCGCAGAGGUCCGCGCGGCGGCCGCCUCCCCCUUCUCCUUUGUGCCGAGGGACGCCCGGGGGCUGCGGCCGCGCUGAGCCCCCGCCGGGGCCCCGCCGCCGUCUGGUCCGAGGGCUCCUGAAGGCCUCAACCAGGGCACGUGGGUCACCCAGAACAGAAUCGGCCUCGCCGCCGGGGCUCUGGUUCCGGGGCUGGGAUUUCCUGCUGCCUGGCUGUGUCUCAGGCAUGCUUUGCCUCCGGGGAUUAGAGGAAGGAUAACAUAUGGACGUGGAAAACCUCUGAUACAACCUACAGAGCUAGACAACAGCUGCUAUGUGGGCCAGUUUACCGAGGAGAGCAUUCGCCACCAGCUGGGGGGACUGAGUCAUUCAUUCAUCAAAAACGCAGGACUGUCUACCAACUGUGGAAUUAGCUGACAUUUAUGAAUGUAUCACCGGAACCUCCUUGCCUUGUGAUUCCUGUUGAGUUGGACCAAUGGGAAGCAUUAUCAGAAGAUCAAAAGAAGGAAGGAGAGAAAUACCAGCCUGUGAAUUACCCUCUUCUCACCUUUGUAUUAGGCCAAAAUUUUAGCCCUACACUGGCCUUCUAAUUACAAUGCCUGUUCAAAGACUCUUUUCCAUGGCUAUAGCUCUCUUGGGUCUCUAAUAAUAACUUUUCCUUCCAGUGCCCCUUCAGGUGUAGGGUUGUAAAGGCUUACCACUUUGCUUGGUCCUUGAACCAUUCCCACACCUCUGUAAUUGUCCUUCAUUAUAUUCUUUUCAAUUAAAGCAUUUUGCAUGCUGCUUCUGUUUUCUGCCUAGACUCUGACUGAUAGGAUAAAUAAGAAAUGCCAAAAGGUCGCUGCUUUGUUUUCCUUAAAAACACCCAUAUUUCUGUCCUGGAGAAAAAUAUAUUCAAAGUCAU
RNAcentral lists this long non-coding RNA (1311 nucleotides) under Vulpes vulpes (red fox). RNAcentral's name for it is "lncRNA (ENSVVUG00000013704.1)". Lineage: Eukaryota; Metazoa; Chordata; Mammalia; Carnivora; Canidae. The record is from RNAcentral.